This 253-nucleotide ribosomal RNA is filed under the name uncultured bacterium. RNAcentral describes it as "partial 16S ribosomal RNA". It matches the Rfam family "Bacterial small subunit ribosomal RNA", at positions 524 to 776 of the family's 1533-position model. The record is from RNAcentral.
UACGUAGGCAGCGAGCGUUGUUCGGAGUUACUGGGCGUAAAGGGCGCGUAGGCGGUAGCACAAGUCAGUUGUGAAAUCUCCGGGCUUAACUCGGAAAGGUCAACUGAUACUGUGCGACUAGAGUGCAGAAGGGGCAACUGGAAUUCUCGGUGUAGCGGUGAAAUGCGUAGAUAUCGAGAGGAACACCUGCGGCGAAGGCGGGUUGCUGGGCUGACACUGACGCUGAGGCGCGAAAGCCAGGGGAGCGAACGGG